Molecule: ribosomal RNA, 262 nt
Filed under: uncultured bacterium
Lineage: Bacteria
Description: partial 16S ribosomal RNA
Rfam family: Bacterial small subunit ribosomal RNA
Source: RNAcentral
CCGCGGUAAUACGAAGGGGACUAGCGUUGUUCGGAAUUACUGGGCGUAAAGCGCACGUAGGCGGAUUUAUAAGUCAGGGGUGAAAUCCUGGGGCUCAACCUCGGAACUGCCUUUGAUACUGUAGAUCUCGAGUCCGAUAGAGGUGGGUGGAAUUCCUAGUGUAGAGGUGAAAUUCGUAGAUAUUAGGAAGAACACCGGUGGCGAAGGCGGCCCACUGGAUCGGUACUGACGCUGAGGUGCGAAAGCGUGGGGAGCAAACAGG